CACUAAUUCUGCGACUUUAAGCUUUAUUACCAAAAACAUCUGUGAUAAAUUUUAAACUAUACUAAACUUUUAAAACUGUAUAACUGUUGCGAAAUUUCACUGACUCAGGCUUCUUCUCGAUUUGAUAUCCAAACAAAAUUGAAAAAUAUGUCUCCCCCAAAAAAUAAAACUACUCCUGGGAAAAACUCAAAUGGACAAAAAAACAACUACAGGUCCCCAUAUGCCCAGACAUCUCAUGUAAAACAAAAUAACUCUCAAGACAAGAACAAGAAAAAUACUAAAGAAAAACAUGAUAUUAUAAAAAAUGGUACUGAAGUUGAUGCUAUUAAAUUCCAUUGUCCCAUUUGUGAAAUACCUGUAUUAGAUGAUCAAAAGGGGGUUGCAUGUGAUUGUGAUAAAGAUAAGUGGUAUCAUAUCGAAUGUGUUGAUAUCACAGAUGAAAAAUAUGAGGAAAUGAUGAAGAUACCAAAGGAUAAUAUACAGACAUGGCAAUGUGAAUUAUGUACAACACCAAAAAAUCAAGGUGGCUUAAAUCAAACAAAUACAACAAUAAAUGAAGACAGAAACGACCCUUCUAAGGCGACAUUAGAAAUGACAGAUGGUGGAAUGACAAACACCAAACUGAUGGCAACAGGACAAAGCACAGACAUGGAUAGUAUAGUUAAAAUAUUGAUGGAGGACAUAUCUGAUCUAAAGAAUGAGUUACUUGCAACAAAGACAGAAAAUAAUAGGCUCCAAGACGCACUUGCACGAAAGACUGAUGUCAUAUACAAGCUAGAAAAUUUGAUCCAUGAUUUCACACAGGGAAUUUUCCCGGAGCCCUCAUGUCAAAAAAGAGAAAUAGUUCACAAACGUACUGAGGCGCUGAUGAAGGAGUCUGAAUGCGGCCUGACAGUGAGUAAAGAGGACUGCCCACAAGAUCACAGUGUAACAAUUGUCAAAGAUCAUAAACGGAGAACUAGCGUACCGAUAAAUAAAAGCCAGAACAACAAACCUGAACCUUCUAUCGCGAAAAUUGAGGAGCAGGAGAAUAAUGAAAACAAGAGGGCAGCUCUCCUGGUCGCAGAUUCAGCGGCGAGGCAGGCUGGAGACAUAAUUCAGGGUAUGUGUAAGAAAGACUUAGAUGUAGAAAUCAUUGCAGAUGCCAAAAUACAGGACAUUAGUCGAGUUCUAAAAAGUAAAACCACUAUGCCACAAAAAGUCCUACUGCACGUUGGAUCAAGAAAUCUUCUGGGAUCUAAAACACCUAACCAAGUCAUGAGGCCACUAUGGUACACAAUAGAAGCUAACAUAAAACGUUUUCCUAAAACUAAAUGGUAUGUCGCAUCCAUUCCGCCAAGAGAGGACAUUAAUAAAAGAUUUCUUCAGGAGACAAAUAAUGCAUUAAAAUUCAUGUGUUGGCAGCUGAAUGCCACAUUCGUCGAUAACACUGACCAUCUUAAGGAACACCACUUAAACUGGAAUGGUAGGCAACUAAACUGGGAGGGGUCAAGAAUAUUGGCUGAAAGACUGAUUGAUGCUCUUCAACUACCUCACCAAAUCCUAGGGAAUGAUACAGUGAGCCCAAACGGAAAUAUAGCCUCACCAAAAAACCAAACUUAGACAGCAAAAACAAGAAAUCAAGUCUAUUAACUGUUUUCCAUCUUAAUAUUCAAAGAGGCCUGCAGGUAAAAAUAGAUAGAUUGUUAAUAGAUCUUCACAAAUACAGCCCUGAUAUCCUGAUACUAUCUGAACAUGGUUUGCGAAAGGAGGAGCUCCUCUGCACUUCAAUUCCGGGUUAUUCCCUUGUUUCCUGUUUCUGCCGGACCCUUUACCUCUGGGGGGGAAUAGCAAUAUACAUUAAAGAAGACAUGCUAUCCAACACAACAGAAAUAAAGCUGGAAGAGCCAUACGAACCAACUGAAAAAGAAUUUGAAACAGUGGGCUUAAAUAUUCAAACAAAGAAGACAAACCUGAUUUUGAUUGGAACCUAUAGAUCACCUGACCCAGGUAAUAUAAAGGAAUUCCUCACUAAACUUGGAGGCCUGUUGCAGAAUUUCUCAGCAAAGCAUCACAAAAUAGUGAUCCUGGGUGACACAAACAUUGACACUCACAAGACAUCUGAGCAGAACUUCAAAGACCUAAAAAAUAUGUUGACUCAAAAUGGCUGCCAAAUCCAUUAUAUGCCUCCUACCAGAGUGACUCCAAACUCAGCCACAAGCCUUGAUGGAUGUUAUCAUAACCUGUCACUUUCAGAUGUCGAAGCCACAGUCUACCCGAGCCAUUUCUCAGAUCACCAUGCUGUUUUGUGCAAUAUAAAAUACAAAUACAACCCGGAACUGCCGACAUACAGGUAUGCAAGAAGCUAUUCAAAAGGAAACAUUCAAGAGUUAAAAUCAAAAUUACAGGAUUCCAACUGGUCACCAGUGAUUGAGACACACGCUGUCGAUGAAAAAUACAAUAUUUUUGCCACAAAAAUGCGACAGAAAAUGGAUGAAACAAUGCCAAGAGGACCAAGGAAGAUCACUACAGCAAAGGGGUACAAGUUUUGGGACGAAAAAACUACUCUUCUGAAACACAGAAUGCAACUAGCUAGAGAGAAAUUCAUCUCAACUGCAUCAGAGGACCAUAGGCAGCAAUACAAAGAACUAAAAAAUCUAUAUGACCAUGAUGUGAAACACAAAAAAAAGAUACAUGUCAAGAGUAGGAUCAUGGAAUCAGACAACAGAACCAAGACCCUAUGGAAAAUGAUCAAUGAUGAACGGAACAGAAGUAAUCUUAACAGGCAGGAAAACCUCUGUUUGGAAAUAGAGGGCCAGAAGAUCACUGAUCCUUUUCUCACUAGCAACAUCCUAAAUGAAGCCUUUACACAGCCAGCAACAACAACAGGAUUUGACCCUCCUCUAAGACGUAUGGCCAAGCUGACAGGCAUCAAAGCAUUGAGUGAAUUUCAGAUGAUAAAUACAGCACAACUCCACCAUCUCAUAGACAAACUAAAAUCGAACAACUCUGCUGGGCAUGAUGACAUCACUGGAAAAAUAUUCAAAAGUUGUAAAGAAGAACUAACAAAGCCUCUACUGGAAAUAGUAAAUUCUUCCCUAAAGCAAGCUGUAUUCCCACAGGCUCUCAAGAUCUCUAAGAUUUUUCCAAAAUUCAAAGGAGGAGAUAAAAUGGAUCACAAGAACUAUAGGCCCAUAGCAAACCUACCUAUAACCUCAAAAAUUAUCGAACGAGCAGUAUAUGACCAGCUUAUCCUGCAUCUGGAGAGCAACAAACUCAUAACAGCACAACAGCAUGGAUUUAGAAAACGUCUAGGCACUACAACUGCAAUAUCUGAAUUGUGUGACAACAUAAACCAACUUUGGGAGGAGAAAAAUACUGUUAUGGGACUGUUUAUAGAUCUUCAAAAGGCCUUCGACACACUAGACUGGAACAUCCUAACUCUGAAAUUGAGAGAAUUGAAAAUAGAGGGAAGAGCAUUGGAGUGGAUAGAGGACUACCUCACCAACAGAAAGCAGUAUGUGGAAAUAGUGCAGCACAAGAAAACUGCUCUUAUAAACUACAAAUCCUCACUCAGAGCAGUGUCCCAGGGUGUGCCCCAGGGAUCCAUCCUUGGGCCACUGCUGUUCCUUGUCUACAUCAAUGACUUUCCCAAGGAAAUUGACAACAGAAACAGCUGCAUAUUGUUUGCCGAUGAUACCACUAUCUUGAUACCAUCGCAGAAGCUUCAAGACCCACACAAAAUUGUCGAGACAGCACUGGAAGAGGCCACAGAUACAUGCAAUAGACUGAAGUUGACCAUUAAUAGGAAGAAGACAGUCCACAUCAGAUUCACUCCAAUCAAAAACAACCCGGAUGAGAGACAAACAAAUGAUGACUCAAUGAUGACAGACUGUACAAGAUUCCUGGGGAUAACAAUUGACUGUCACUUAACAUGGAGAAAACAUAUAGAGCUGUUAUGCAAGAGGUUAGCAUCUGCCGUGUAUGUUAUACGAAGAAUCAGAAACAUAUCAGAGAAAAGUACAUCAUUCAUAGCAUACCACUCACUCUUUGCCUCACAUUUAAGGUACGGUAUUGUUGCCUGGGGAUCGGCAUCCCAGACACACCUUGACAGAGUCCUGAGAAUACAAAAGUGGGCCUUGAGGACGAUAUUGGAGAAAAACAUGAUGGAGCACUGUAAACCAUUAUUUGUGGAGAGUAAAAUACUCACAGUAGUCUCAUUGUACCUGCUCGAAACAAUAAAUCUGGUUAAGAGGAAAGGCCUUACCACAAGACAGGAAAAACACUGCUAUGACCUUCGAAACAACAAGAAUCUUGACUUGCCACAACAUAGACUGAAGAAAUACAGCUGCUCACCAACAUAUGCAGGAUCAUACUUUUUCAAUUUACUGCCGCGUGACCUGAAGGAUAUGGAUGACGAGGCAGCAUUUGCCAGAGGCCUGAAGUCAUACCUAUUGGCCCGACCCUACUAUGCAGUAUCAGAGUAUGUUGAAGAGCAUACAUUUCAACAUAUACGACAUGCUCAUGGAGGAAAUCACCUGCCGUGAAAAAUAAUGACGACUCCCCAGCCUUCAGACUGUCAGGAGGACAAAUACAAGUAACAAACGACGAGUAUCAUGUUGGCAUUGAGGAAAUAGGAAGCGAACUUCGCCAUUUCUUGUUCUCGUCCAUUUUUCGCCACAUGUUGUAGAAGCUAGACCAAAAUGUCGAAGCGAGGUCGUGGUGGAUCUGCGGGAG
Nilaparvata lugens (brown planthopper) is the source of this 4716-nucleotide RNA transcript. It is a transcript of the gene named 60S ribosomal protein L23, with no coding region annotated. The record is from RefSeq and is a predicted model, not a curated record. Lineage: Eukaryota; Metazoa; Arthropoda; Insecta; Hemiptera; Delphacidae. The transcript has 2 exons.